This 468-nucleotide ribosomal RNA is filed under the name uncultured bacterium. RNAcentral's name for it is "partial 16S ribosomal RNA". It matches the Rfam family "Bacterial small subunit ribosomal RNA", at positions 28 to 507 of the family's 1533-position model. The record is from RNAcentral.
GACGAACGCUGGCGGCGUGCUUAACACAUGCAAGUCGAACGGAAAGGCCCUGCUUUUGUGGGGUGCUCGAGUGGCGAACGGGUGAGUAACACGUGAGUAACCUGCCCUUGACUUUGGGAUAACUUCAGGAAACUGGGGCUAAUACCGGAUAGGAGCUCCUGCUGCAUGGUGGGGGUUGGAAAGUUUCGGCGGUUGGGGAUGGACUCGCGGCUUAUCAGCUUGUUGGUGGGGUAGUGGCUUACCAAGGCUUUGACGGGUAGCCGGCCUGGGAGGGUGACCGGCAACAUUGGGAAUGAGAUGCGGCCCAGACUCCUACGGGAGGCAGAAGUAGGGAAUAUUGCACAAUGGGCGGAAGCCUGAUGCAGCAACGCCGCGUGCGGGAUGACUGCCUUCGGGUUGUAAACCGCUUUCGCAUGUGACGAAGCGUGAGUGACGGUAAUGGGUAAAGAAGCACCGGCUAACUACGUG